CGGGGAACGAUAACGGCGUCGAGCGGCGGACGGGUGAGUAAUGCCUAGGAAAUUGCCCUGAUGUGGGGGAUAACCAUUGGAAACGAUGGCUAAUACCGCAUGAUGCCUACGGGCCAAAGAGGGGGACCUUCGGGCCUCUCGCGUCAGGAUAUGCCUAGGUGGGAUUAGCUAGUUGGUGAGGUAAGGGCUCACCAAGGCGACGAUCCCUAGCUGGUCUGAGAGGAUGAUCAGCCACACUGGAACUGAGACACGGUCCAGACUCCUACGGGAGGCAGCAGUGGGGAAUAUUGCACAAUGGGCGCAAGCCUGAUGCAGCCAUGCCGCGUGUGUGAAGAAGGCCUUCGGGUUGUAAAGUACUUUCAGUCGUGAGGAAGGCGUUGUAGUUAAUAGCUGCAUCGUUUGACGUUAGCGACAGAAGAAGCACCGGCUAACUCCGUGCCAGCAGCCGCGGUAAUACGGAGGGUGCGAGCGUUAAUCGGAAUUACUGGGCGUAAAGCGCAUGCAGGUGGUUUGUUAAGUCAGAUGUGAAAGCCCGGGGCUCAACCUCGGAAUAGCAUUUGAAACUGGCAGACUAGAGUACUGUAGAGGGGGGUAGAAUUUCAGGUGUAGCGGUGAAAUGCGUAGAGAUCUGAAGGAAUACCGGUGGCGAAGGCGGCCCCCUGGACAGAUACUGACACUCAGAUGCGAAAGCGUGGGGAGCAAACAGGAUUAGAUACCCUGGUAGUCCACGCCGUAAACGAUGUCUACUUGGAGGUUGUGGCCUUGAGCCGUGGCUUUCGGAGCUAACGCGUUAAGUAGACCGCCUGGGGAGUACGGUCGCAAGAUUAAAACUCAAAUGAAUUGACGGGGGCCCGCACAAGCGGUGGAGCAUGUGGUUUAAUUCGAUGCAACGCGAAGAACCUUACCUACUCUUGACAUCCAGAGAACUUUCCAGAGAUGGAUUGGUGCCUUCGGGAACUCUGAGACAGGUGCUGCAUGGCUGUCGUCAGCUCGUGUUGUGAAAUGUUGGGUUAAGUCCCGCAACGAGCGCAACCCUUAUCCUUGUUUGCCAGCGAGUAAUGUCGGGAACUCCAGGGAGACUGCCGGUGAUAAACCGGAGGAAGGUGGGGACGACGUCAAGUCAUCAUGGCCCUUACGAGUAGGGCUACACACGUGCUACAAUGGCGCAUACAGAGGGCGGCCAACUUGCGAAAGUGAGCGAAUCCCAAAAAGUGCGUCGUAGUCCGGAUUGGAGUCUGCAACUCGACUCCAUGAAGUCGGAAUCGCUAGUAAUCGUGGAUCAGAAUGCCACGGUGAAUACGUUCCCGGGCCUUGUACACACCGCCCGUCACACCAUGGGAGUGGGCUGCAAA
This 1352-nucleotide ribosomal RNA is filed under the name Vibrio alginolyticus. Its description in RNAcentral is "bacterial SSU rRNA". It matches the Rfam family "Bacterial small subunit ribosomal RNA", at positions 67 to 1421 of the family's 1533-position model. The record is from RNAcentral. Lineage: Bacteria; Pseudomonadati; Pseudomonadota; Gammaproteobacteria; Vibrionales; Vibrionaceae.